AGGGUUUGAUUCUGGCUCAGGAUGAACGCUGGCGGCGUGCUUAACACAUGCAAGUCGAACGGAGUGCCUAUGAAAGAGGAUUCGUCCAAUUGAUUAGGUUACUUAGUGGCGGACGGGUGAGUAACGCGUGAGGAACCUGCCUCGGAGUGGGGAAUAACAAUCCGAAAGGAUUGCUAAUACCGCAUGAUGCAGUUGGGCCGCAUGGCUCUGACUGCCAAAGAUUUAUCGCUCUGAGAUGGCCUCGCGUCUGAUUAGCUAGUUGGCGGGGUAACGGCCCACCAAGGCGACGAUCAGUAGCCGGACUGAGAGGUUGACCGGCCACAUUGGGACUGAGACACGGCCCAG
This 345-nucleotide ribosomal RNA is filed under the name uncultured bacterium. RNAcentral's name for it is "bacterial SSU rRNA". It matches the Rfam family "Bacterial small subunit ribosomal RNA", at positions 8 to 334 of the family's 1533-position model. The record is from RNAcentral.